This 229-nucleotide ribosomal RNA is filed under the name uncultured bacterium. Its description in RNAcentral is "partial 16S ribosomal RNA". It matches the Rfam family "Bacterial small subunit ribosomal RNA", at positions 568 to 796 of the family's 1533-position model. The record is from RNAcentral.
UGCGUAGGCGGGUUUUUAAGUCAGAGGUGAAAGCUUUACGCUUAACGUGAAAAUUGCCUUUGAUACUGAAGAUCUUGAAUUAGGUUGAGGUCAGCGGAAUGUGGCAUGUAGCGGUGAAAUGCAUAGAUAUGCCAUAGAACACCAAUUGCGAAGGCAGCUGGCUAGGCCUUAAUUGACGCUGAGGCACGAAAGCGUGGGGAGCGAACAGGAUUAGAUACCCUGGUAGUCC